GACGAACGCUGGCGGCGUGCUUAACACAUGCAAGUCGAACGGACAGGCCCUGCUUUUGUGGGGUGCUCGAGUGGCGAACGGGUGAGUAACACGUGAGUAACCUGCCCUUGACUUUGGGAUAACUUCAGGAAACUGGGGCUAAUACCGGAUAGGAGCUCCUGCUGCAUGGUGGGGGUUGGAAAGUUUCGGCGGUUGGGGAUGGACUCGCGGCUUAUCAGCUUGUUGGUGGGGUAGUGGCUUACCAAGGCUUUGACGGGUAGCCGGCCUGAGAGGGUGACCGGCCACAUUGGGACUGAGAUACGGCCCAGACUCCUACGGGAGGCAGCAGUGGGGAAUAUUGCACAAUGGGCGGAAGCCUGAUGCAGCAACGCCGCGUGCGGGAUGACGGCCUUCGGGUUGUAAACCGCUUUCGCCUGGGACGAAGCGUGAGUGACGGUAAUGGGUAAAGAAGCACCGGCUAACUACGUG
Molecule: ribosomal RNA, 468 nt
Filed under: uncultured bacterium
Lineage: Bacteria
Description: partial 16S ribosomal RNA
Rfam family: Bacterial small subunit ribosomal RNA
Source: RNAcentral